GACGAACGCUGGCGGCGUGCUUAACACAUGCAAGUCGAACGGAAAGGCCCUGCUUGCAGGGUACUCGAUUGGCGAACGGGUGAGUAACACGUUUGUGAUCUGCCCUGCACUUCGGGAUAAGCCUGGGAAACUGGGUCUAAUACCGGACAGGAGCCAUUUUUAGUUUGAUUGGUGGAAAGUUUUUUAGGUGUAGGAUGAGCACGCGGCCUAUCGGCUUGGUGGUGGGGUAAGGGCCUACCAAGGCGGCGACGCGUAGCCGGCGUGAGAGGGUGGACGGCAACAUUCGGACUGAGACUCGGCCCAGACUCCGACGGGAGGCAGAGGUAGGGAAUAUUGCACAAUGAGCGCAAGCGUGAUGCAGCGACGCCGCGUGGGGGAUGACGGUGUACGGGUUGUAAACUCAUUUCGCUAGGGACGAAGCUUAUUGUGACGGUACCUAGAGAAGAAGCACCGGCUAACUACGUG
This 465-nucleotide ribosomal RNA is filed under the name uncultured bacterium. RNAcentral describes it as "partial 16S ribosomal RNA". It matches the Rfam family "Bacterial small subunit ribosomal RNA", at positions 28 to 507 of the family's 1533-position model. The record is from RNAcentral.